Molecule: microRNA precursor, 72 nt
Filed under: Haemonchus placei
Lineage: Eukaryota; Metazoa; Nematoda; Chromadorea; Rhabditida; Trichostrongylidae
Description: mir-5890 microRNA precursor family
Rfam family: mir-5890 microRNA precursor family
Source: Rfam by way of RNAcentral
UCUUGGCACAGGGCUGAAUUGCGGGAGGACUUAUAUGAUUCUACCCCUUUUCAUUUUUAUACUGCUUUGGAG